UAAGGAAUAUUGGUCAAUGGACGCAAGUCUGAACCAGCCAUGCCGCGUGGAGGAUGAAGGUCCUCUGGAUUGUAAACUUCUUUUAUCUGGGACGAAACACUUCUUUUCUAAGAGGCCUGACGGUACCAGAUGAAUAAGCACCGGCUAACUCCGUGCCAGCAGCCGCGGUAAUACGGAGGGUGCAAGCGUUAUCCGGAUUCACUGGGUUUAAAGGGUGCGUAGGUGGGUAUGUAAGUCAGUGGUGAAAUCCCCGAGCUUAACUUGGGAACUGCCAUUGAUACUAUAUAUCUUGAAUACCGUAGAGGUAAGCGGAAUAUGUCAUGUAGCGGUGAAAUGCUUAGAUAUGAAAUGGGACACCAAUUGCGAAGGCAGCUUACUAUGCGGUGAUUGACACUGAGGCACGAAAGCGUGGGUAGCAAACA
RNAcentral lists this ribosomal RNA (422 nucleotides) under uncultured bacterium. RNAcentral describes it as "bacterial SSU rRNA". It matches the Rfam family "Bacterial small subunit ribosomal RNA", at positions 355 to 774 of the family's 1533-position model. The record is from RNAcentral.